UCCUCCUCCAGUGGACCUUAUGGAGGCAGUGGAGGCCAGCAGUUCUCCCAGUCUGCUUAGGUGGAGGAGGGCCCCAUCACCACCAUUCGCAUCUGCGAGGAUGGCACCUGCAUAGAAGGGCGCGCUACCGCCAGAUGUGGAGCGACUAUGUGGGUGGUACCCAGGGAGACCUGGAGGAGACUUUCCUGCAGCCUGGGGAGUCAGUGAUCUGGGUUUAUGGCAAGUAUGACAGCUACCUGAGGCAGCUGGUCUUCAUGACUGACAAGGGCAGGAAGAUGUCUUUUGGGACAGACAGAGGCCUGAGUUUCAACACUGUCCCCUUGUACCCCAACACCGGGCUAUGAUUCUUCAGUGGUCACGCUAGCACCGUCAUUGAUGCCAUCCCCCUGCAGUAGGACGCCCACCCCAAUCACUGAACCAGUUGCUGAACCCAAGCUGUGCCUGGGCAGACCUCUGCAGCUGGGGUUCAGGACCACCUUACCACUAACCUCAUCCCCAAGGUUCAAUAAAAAGUAAAAUAAAAGAC
Molecule: long non-coding RNA, 526 nt
Organism: Suricata suricatta (meerkat)
Lineage: Eukaryota; Metazoa; Chordata; Mammalia; Carnivora; Herpestidae
Exons: 2
Source: RefSeq, a predicted model, not a curated record